AUUUGUAGGUUUAAAUAUUAUACGUAUAAGGCGAUAGUUGCUUAUUUAAUAUGAUAUGAUUGCUUGUAAUGCCUCUAAUUGUGUUAAUCCUGUAAAACAAGGAGAAAAUUUGAUCUAUAGACAGAACUGAUAUUUUUGAGCAUUUUGUAAAUAUAAUCCUAAUACUGAUUAAUGAAAAAUUUUGAAUAAUUAAGUGGUAUU
This 201-nucleotide small RNA is filed under the name Rickettsia prowazekii. Its description in RNAcentral is "partial sR52 non-coding RNA". The record is from RNAcentral. Lineage: Bacteria; Pseudomonadati; Pseudomonadota; Alphaproteobacteria; Rickettsiales; Rickettsiaceae.